This is a long non-coding RNA of Xenopus laevis (African clawed frog), 931 nucleotides long. RefSeq lists it as uncharacterized. The record is from RefSeq and is a predicted model, not a curated record. Lineage: Eukaryota; Metazoa; Chordata; Amphibia; Anura; Pipidae. The transcript has 2 exons.
CCCCCCCACCUCUGGCCCCCGUCUUCCGCCACACCUCUGGCCCCAUCUUCGGUCCUCCCACCUUGGGUCACCUGUCAUCGACCCUGAACUAAGGCUCUCUAUCUCUGGGCCCCUGACUUUUCCAUCUCUAAUUGUGGGUGGCACUUAGUAUUGAGCUGGGGGCAGAGCCGACUGUGGUGUCAGGUGACUAACAGGGCGCAGGAUGAAACUUGUGGCGCGUGAUGAUUCCAUGGGAUGAAUUCAUCUCUACUGCUGAUGCCACAAGCUUUAAUGUCCCUGGCACCUCGAAGGCUCACCUUUCAGUUCACUUACUAUGGGCUAUCUGCAUUAUUUCUAUCACACAUUCUUUCUUAUGCUUUUCAGCUGGUGUUUGAUCUUAGGAAAAUGUGGAGGUAAAUAUCUUCUUCAUAAACGUGGUGCAGCUUUUGUAUAGUUGCACAUAAAUAGUCACUCUGUGUUUUUUUACUUGUCUUUGAGAUUUUACUAAGAAAUCUGUGAACCUAUUUCUUUCCUUCAACGCCCAACCACGGACUUCUUUGAGGAAUUGUGUCCAGAAUUCAGCAUAUGGUAAAGCAAAGACGGUGCCUCUACAUACCAAAAGGUAAUGUUUGAUUUGCAUCUUGCUCCCGAGUCUGUUUUAGAAAAAAAGAAUUGAAAUGUACUGAUUAAUAUUCUCUGUGUUUUACUCCCGGACUGCACUGAAUCAACUCCACGUGGAGACCUGGGUCUCAUGUUCCAGUUAGAAGAAGUAGGAAGCCAUCGAUCAAGACUAAGAAGCUGCUUGCACAGUGAAUCCCACGCAAACCUGUAGACCUGACUCUCCUCAUACCACAGGCAGAGAUGGAAAAUGGCUUCUCUGCUCUAUUUUGCUCUUCUUUUUUUGCUGUAAAAACUUUGAAAAAUGAAUAAAAAAGGAAUAUAUGAAAAAGUA